RNAcentral lists this long non-coding RNA (555 nucleotides) under Fukomys damarensis (Damara mole-rat). RNAcentral's name for it is "lncRNA (ENSFDAG00000023425.1)". Lineage: Eukaryota; Metazoa; Chordata; Mammalia; Rodentia; Bathyergidae. The record is from RNAcentral.
CAUCAUUACAGAGCAUGCCCAGGCCUGUUUUGAUAAACAUGCACUGAACAUUCUCAGGGUAGGAAUACAGAGAUGGGUCAGACAAAGAGCUGAACUCAAAGACCCUACAUCCUACAGGAGAAGAGAUGGAAACUGCAUUUGCUAACAUAUAAAAGAAGGAAAACUGCAGGGUCAUCGCCUUGACAGACUGGAAGGGAGUCCCAGAGAAGGGUGUCUGCUGGGUGUCCGGUAUCUACAUCUCCCUUUUGCUUAGUCACCUGUAUCCAUGACAAGCGCCUAAGGGUCUUAGACUACAACCUGUCUAGAGAAGCAAGUAGCUCUAACAUCAACUUGGGUGGAGGGGAAAAACUGAGAGGUAAGUUAUAAAGAGGAGCUUACCAAGCAGGUCCUUUUCUGAGAUCCCCGGCUGGCAUAGAUUAAUGGAAAGAACUCUCUUUUCCAGAGCAACUAUGUCACCCAGGGAGAGAGUUGCAAGAUAAAAUAAGGGAACACGAUUAUAUUUGAAUUUCAGAUAAACAACAAACAAUUUCUUAGCACAAAUGUAUUCAGAUGGCA